GACGAACCGUGCGAACGUUAUUCGGAAUCACUGGGCUUAAAGCGCGUGUAGGCGGCCCUGCAAGUCGGAUGUGAAAUCCCACGGCUCAACCGUGGAAGUGCAUUCGAAACUGCAGGGCUAGAGUCCUGGAGAGGAAGGUGGAAUGCUUGGUGUAGAGGUGAAAUUCGUAGAUAUCAAGCGGAACACCGGUGGCGAAGGCGGCCUUCUGGACAGUGACUGACGCUGAGACGCGAAAGCGUGGGGGGCAAACAGG
Molecule: ribosomal RNA, 253 nt
Filed under: uncultured bacterium
Lineage: Bacteria
Description: partial 16S ribosomal RNA
Rfam family: Bacterial small subunit ribosomal RNA
Source: RNAcentral